This 433-nucleotide ribosomal RNA is filed under the name uncultured bacterium. Its description in RNAcentral is "partial 16S ribosomal RNA". It matches the Rfam family "Bacterial small subunit ribosomal RNA", at positions 29 to 507 of the family's 1533-position model. The record is from RNAcentral.
AACGAACGCUGGCGGCAUGCCUAACACAUGCAAGUCGAACGAGACCUUCGGGUCUAGUGGCGCACGGGUGCGUAACGCGUGGGAACCUGCCCUUAGGUUCGGAAUAACUCCCCGAAAGGGGUGCUAAUACCGGAUAAUGUCUUCGGACCAAAGAUUUAUCGCCUUUGGAUGGGCCCGCGUUGGAUUAGCUAGUUGGUAGGGUAAAAGCCUACCAAGGCGACGAUCCAUAGCUGGUCUGAGAGGAUGAUCAGCCACACUGGGACUGAGACACGGCCCAGACUCCUACGGGAAGCAGCAGUGGGGAAUAUUGGACAAUGGGCGAAAGCCUGAUCCAGCAGUGCCGCGUGAGUGAUGAAGGCCUUAGGGUUGUAAAGCUCUUUUACCCGGGAUGAUAAUGACAGUACCGGGAGAAUAAGCUCCGGCUAACUCCGUG